RNAcentral lists this ribosomal RNA (274 nucleotides) under uncultured bacterium. Its description in RNAcentral is "partial 16S ribosomal RNA". It matches the Rfam family "Bacterial small subunit ribosomal RNA", at positions 523 to 796 of the family's 1533-position model. The record is from RNAcentral.
AUACGAACUGUGCAAACGUUAUUCGGAAUCACUGGGCUUAAAGGGUGCGUAGGCGGGUUUGAAGGUCUGAUGUGAAAGCCCACGGCUCAACCGUGGAAUUGCGUUGGAAACCACAAGCCUUGAGGGAGUCAGAGGUGAGCGGAACUAAUGGUGGAGCGGUGAAAUGCGUUGAUAUCAUUAGGAACACCGGUGGCGAAAGCGGCUCACUGGGACUCUUCUGACGCUGAGGCACGAAAGCUAGGGGAGCGAACGGGAUUAGAAACCCCAGUAGUCC